AUGCCUCAUGUCUCUAAAGCUGCUCUUCAGUUGUAAACAGAGUGAGAGAGAUAGAGCGAGAGAGAGAAGAAGGAAGAGAAACGGAGAGUGCAUCAGAGCGAGGAGAGGAGAGAUAUUUUCAGUCUCGCUGUCUUUAUAGCAGAGCUUUCCUCCAGUGAGGUGGCUGGUGAGGAUUAGGGAUCUACGUUGGUCAGGAGGUUGGAUUGAGAGCAGGAGAUAUUCCUUGAAAUGCUGGGGCUGUUUAUUCAUCUCAGGAUAGACGGAUGGAGGAAAGUGAAUGAGGUGGGAGGUAAAAGGCAGAGUGAGUAAAAACAAGUGCUUAUAUUGUGUAGGUGGAUGCUGGAUUGAUGACAGCUGGAUCAAAAUGUGGAUGUUGUUGUAGUGAGCGAGGGGGAAGAGGAGGGUUUUACGGUGAAAUCAGGGUGAGAAGUGAAUGUGACUCAGACCUUUCAGCCACUUCCGUUGGCAUCUUCAGGAUGGAAAGAUCAAAGGAGGAGAUGAACGAGUCAUGUUGUGGUCAGCUGACUCACAACGGAGGAAUGGAUACUGGGAAAAGGAAGCUUGGUCAUGUGGUCUGGUGUUCCAAUAUGCAUGCGCAUGAGUUUACUACGCUGGAAGAGCAAUUAUCCUGUUUCCCGUCAAGCCAGAGGAAUGCAGAGUGAGAUUCCCGGUCUGUGAGUCGUGCCCUCUCACCUGUCACCUCCAUAUGGAUCCUAUUUCAUCCUUUCCCCUUCCCCCCUCGGCCAGGGAAUUUCCCAGCUUGUGUGGUUCUCGUCACGGAGGAAGCUCAAGCCUGUUUUUUCUGUUAAUGAUAGGAUACUUUAUGUUGUGGUUAGUUUAACAGGGCUGUGUUCCUCUGUUUUUCACCGCACACAAUUUAAUUUGCCAAUUUGCAGGUCAGGAAUCCAGCGGAGGCCUACACUGGAAGGGAAAAAAAUUACUCUAUGUGUGGUAUUUUCACAGCAUUCUACAUUUGGCCCCAAACAACCAUGGAGGAGAUCAAUCUAUGGAUUUAUGUGGAUGAAGUGCGCACAUAGAGUAAUCGCUUGUUGGUGCUGGCUAGUCCAAGGAUGCUUUGUCAUGCUGGAGAGAAGACAGCCCUGAGGAGCUCAGAACCUACAGUACAAUAUAAUACAGGACGCCUCAGUACGGGACAGGAGUGGCUUUAAACCGGAGAAGCGGGUAUGAAAACGUCUUCAAGGAGGAAGUCAUUCACUGUGUCGCAGGUGACUGGCGGCUCGCAGAGGUCUGCACAAUCAGGUAGGUGGAGCACCAGGAGGCACCCAGGAGUUUCCAACCAGCUUUGCUGAGGUGGUUUCUCCAAAAACAUCCCUUCGGAUCCGAGCUAAAUUCCUUGCACCACUUCUGUCAUGGCUCUAGCCGGCUGUGUAACCACACCCUCUGGUGUUCAUCUGGGAAAUUAGCAACUGAACAAAUACAGCCAGCUUCCGUCCUCAAACAGCAGCAGCCUUUGAGCUACACCUGCAUCCACUUUGCUAAAGGAAGCUUGCCAGGCCAUGAAUAUACAAGAAUGUCCUUUUCUGUAUUAAACCUAUUAACAGUGUCAAUCAGAAGACUUGUUGAGUAAAGAACUGCACUCAGAAACUGAUUUCAUUUGGUGACGUAGAUGUUUGUACACAGUCUCUAGCACCAUAUGAAAUCAGUGUUCUGGGAGGUGGACUAUCAGACUCUGUACAUGAAUAAACUGAAAUAUGAUGCCAUGAAAGUAGGUCGCAUUUGUUUGAAUUGCAUCCGGUUUCUACUGCCUCGCUGCUCAAAGGUGCUGACUGGCUUCUUAAGUCUUCAUCAAAAUUGUGCCUCAAUUCUUCUGUGAACUCUUUCCCCUGAUGGUAAAUGUAUUAUUGAACUUCUGAUUUUGUUAAAUAAAGAUAAACUUAUAUUUUGUGUUUAUAAAGAAUGUAAUUUUUUUAUAUGGGUUUUUGUAUUGUGUUUAAUAAAGGUAAAGAUCAAUAAAGCACACACAAGCAGCUACUGCCUAUGUUCUGAAAUUAGUUGAAACGACUGGUGAAUGGUGUCCAAGUGAGGACUUGUUAAAGAUAUUUACCAUUUAGAUGCCUUAAAGUCAUUUACCAAUAAUGUCUUUAAUAAAGUAAAAGUUAAAUUAAGGUUUCAUGGAUGAAAUAUUGGGUUUGGGUUUGAUUCUCUUCUCUCCCUGGGCACAUCUGUGUGGAGUUUGAAUGUUCCCUGUGUUUCCAAAGAGCAGGACUCCUCUGGGUGACAAUGCUUUGUUCAUACAAGGAGUCAGAGGAGAAUGGCCAGACUGCUUUGGGCUGAUAUUACAGCAAAAGUACCUCAAAUAACAACUCACCCUAGCCAAGGGGUGCAGAAGAGCAUCUCCUAAUCUACAACACUUCAAAAGCUUGAAGCAGAUGGGCUACAGCAGCACAAGACGAGACUGGGUGCCACACCUGUUAGAUCAUAACAGGAAAGUGAGGUUACAGUUCACAGGGGCUCAACAAAACUGGACAAUAGAAGAUGAAAAAAUGUUACUCUCGAUUUCUGCUGCUACAAUCGAAUACUAAGGUCAGAAUUUGGUAUAAACAGCAUAAAAGCAUGGACUUGUCCUGGCUUGGAUCAACGGUUCAGGCUGGUGGUGCUGGUGUAAUGGUGUGACAAAUGUUUUCUGGACACACUAUAGGCCCCUUUGUAUCACUUGAAUAUUGCUUAAAUGCCAGAGCCUGCCUGAGUAUUGCUGCUGUCGCAAAGCUCAGAUCAUUUUAAAACUGGUUUCUUGAAUAUGACAAGUUCAUACUUCAAAUCAUCAGAUUUCAAUCCAACAAAGUGCUUUUGAGAUGGGGGAGAACAGCAGAUUCACACCAUCUUCAGAAAAUGUGUGACACUAUCAUAUCAAUGUGGACUUAAAUGUCUGAGGAAAGUUUCAAGCUCAAGCUUGUUGAUUCUCUCCUAUGAAGAGUUAAGGGAAGACAAAAGGGGGUCAAAUCAAGUAAUAAUAAGUUAUACUUAAUAAAGUGACUGUGCAUUGUUCUCACAAACUGCAAGGCAUGAAUACAAAGAUACGCUACAAGCUUUGUGCAGAUGAGAUGGCAACGUUUAGAUGGGAAUGCUGGGAUUUUACUGAUAAUAACUUUCACAACAUUAGAUAUCUGAGUCUGAGAAAAGACAAGUACCAUUUUAUAUGCUGAUGUUAUAUAUUUCUCAGUUAGAAAAACUAAAUAAUAUAGGCCCUGGAGCAAAAAUAAGGUGUGUGUCUAAAACAACGUGCACUACAGACUUAUUACCUGAAUAAACUUUAUUGUCAAGUGUCUAAACACAAAAAAAAGGAAUUUACCUCAGGCUAUCAAAAAGCCACGAGCAGUCAGAGAGGAGCUGUAAAUAAUAACAAUCAACAAUAAUUAUAAUAAUAUUGACACUGACAAUAAAUAAGACAAAUAAGAUUAAAAAUAAACUAAAUAGAGUAAAGAGAAAAUGGCAGCGUGAGGAGUGUGUACUGGGCAUUACAAACCUGGUAUUAUCGAAGAAAAAACACUUGAAAUGAAAAUAACAAAAGGGAUUAGUUACUCAAUUAGUCUUGCACUACUGUGCCUCUGCCUCAACUAAGCCGACCUGUUAUCAUUUCUCAGGAGUCAUGCGUCAGAGGCACUGCAGGGCAGGCCAUAACUAUGUGCCAUGACCAUAUAGAAGGUUAGUACCAUAAAAAUACCACUGAAUCCACUUACAGUAUGAAAGAUGGAUUUCGCUAUGGC
Molecule: long non-coding RNA, 3725 nt
Organism: Haplochromis burtoni (Burton's mouthbrooder)
Lineage: Eukaryota; Metazoa; Chordata; Actinopteri; Cichliformes; Cichlidae
Exons: 3
Source: RefSeq, a predicted model, not a curated record